Salvia miltiorrhiza (redroot sage) is the source of this 1699-nucleotide long non-coding RNA. RefSeq lists it as uncharacterized. The record is from RefSeq and is a predicted model, not a curated record. Lineage: Eukaryota; Viridiplantae; Streptophyta; Magnoliopsida; Lamiales; Lamiaceae. The transcript is spliced from 5 exons.
GAAAACCCGUUGUCUAUUUAGGGCGGUCAUAGACAACGAGUCUGAAACAUGUUGUCUAUGAUAACUAUAGACAACGGUUUUGGAAAACUCGUUGUCUAUUUAGGGCGGUCAUAGACAACGAGGCUGAAACAUGUUGUCUAUUAUAACUAUAGACAACGUUUUUGGAAAAACCGUUGUCUAUUUAGGGCGGUCAUAGACAACGAGUCUGAAACUCGUUGUCUAUUAUAACUAUAGACAACGGUUUUGAAAAUACUUAAUUUUUUUUCUCUCUCUUCUUUCACUAAUUUUUUUUUACUAUUUUUUUCUUUAAUUUUUUUUAUGAACAUCAUCAAAUUUAAUUCAUAAAAAAAAUACUUAAUACUACAUCUUAAAUUUAAGUUAAUGAAAAAAUAUUUAAUAUGAUAUAAAAAUCAUAAAAAAUAAAUAAAUUAUGAAAAAACAAAAUUAAAAAUAUUUUAUUUUUUUUCUCUUCAUUAACAUUUUAUACCCAUAUUAAACCCAACACAAACCCUAUUCCCCUUAUCUCUCCUGCGCCCUCUCCCAUCUCACUAUCUCUCUCUCAGAAUUUCAUCCCUCUCUCUCAGCCCUAGGUCCCGCCGCCACAGCCACUUUGCGCCAUCGCCGGAGCCCGGCAGCUCCAUCGCGGCCAACCGCUGCAAUUUGUCGGCCGCCGCUGUCCAAGCCCCACGCCGCCGAUUCUCCUGUCUCUCUGACUCUCUUUCCCGGCGCAGCAGAUCAGUUCCGUCGCGUCUUGCGCCACCUCCAGGCUCCGGCGCUCAGCCUCUUCUCUUCUCACCGCCUCCGACUCCGACAACCUUCAAAAAAUUAAAUCCUCGAAGAUUCUGAAAUGCCUUGGGUAUGGUCUUUGACAUUCAAUAUCUGAACCAUCUCACACCAAUCUCUCAUUCUUCGCAAACUCGCCGAAAUUCAAGCUUCGAUGCGAGGUGUUGCGCGUCAUCCGAGUGUCGCUGCCUCCGUGAGCUGAGACCGUCGCUGUGUGCGCAAUAAUGGGCUAACUCAAAAUUCUAGAGCCCUAAAUUGUUUCUAAGUUAGUUUUCUCUUUGGGGCUGAAAAGAAACCCUACUGGAGUUUCCUUGCAGAUUCUUGUGCUGCUUGUAAUAGAUUCUUUUUUCAAGAAUUUCCAUAGUUUGAAGUUUUAAGGAUUAGGACAUAUAGAUGGGAAGAAGAAGAGUAAAUCCUUUCUUGGAAUUUACUACUCAUCUAACUUUUACUGUUUUGCCUAUUUUCUCUUUGAGGCUUUCUUUCUUUGUAUUGAUGUUGCAGACUACAAUCCCCAAAGGGAGGCUAACGAUGAGCACCUGAGAUCUCAAAAUUUUGCAGUAUGUUCUAAAGAAGAUUAGGCUGGCAAAGCAAAUUGAGAAAUUCAAGUAGACUGCGCAUCAGGAGGUUGGUGAUAGGUGGAAGUCAAAAAAUCAAGCUUGAGAUAAAUUUCUUGAGGUUUUCUAUACGGAAGCUUCAAUGUCACUUUCUCUCUUCUCACCCAACGCACACACCCAGAUCCGCACUCAAAUCAGCGGCGUGGGUGCCGCCGCUCGUCCUUCCUGGCAAAGCAACGGCGAUAAGCCGCUGACGCGCCCGGCUCUCCCUUCUCUCUCUCGGCGGCAUCACCGCCUCAUGUAAUAUUGUUUGAAUGAAUGUAUGAAUUUUUGUGAUGUUGGAUGAAAUUUGUUUGAAUGUA